UAAUACGGAGGGUGCAAGCGUUAAUCGGAAUUACUGGGCGUAAAGCGCACGCAGGCGGUUUGUUAAGUCAGAUGUGAAAUCCCCGGGCUCAACCUGGGAACUGCAUUUGAAACUGGCAAGCUAGAGUCUCGUAGAGGGGGGUAGAAUUCCAGGUGUAGCGGUGAAAUGCGUAGAGAUCUGGAGGAAUACCGGUGGCGAAGGCGGCCCCCUGGACGAAGACUGACGCUCAGGUGCGAAAGCGUGGGGAGCAAACAGGAUUAGAUACCCUGGUAGUCCACGCUGUAAACGAUGUCGAUUUGGAGGUUGUGCCCUUGAGGCGUGGCUUCCGGAGCUAACGCGUUAAGUCGACCGCCUGGGGAGUACGGCGCAAGGUUA
Molecule: ribosomal RNA, 375 nt
Filed under: uncultured Serratia sp.
Lineage: Bacteria; Pseudomonadati; Pseudomonadota; Gammaproteobacteria; Enterobacterales; Yersiniaceae
Description: bacterial SSU rRNA
Rfam family: Bacterial small subunit ribosomal RNA
Source: RNAcentral